GCCCGGGUGGUGGAACGGUAGACACGAGGGACUUAAAAUCCCUUGGUCCGCAAGGGCCGUGCGGGUUCAAGUCCCGCCCCGGGCACCA
RNAcentral lists this transfer RNA (88 nucleotides) under Flavobacteriales bacterium. RNAcentral's name for it is "tRNA-Leu". It matches the Rfam family "tRNA". From Rfam's summary of the family: Transfer RNA (tRNA) molecules are approximately 80 nucleotides in length. The record is from RNAcentral. Lineage: Bacteria; Pseudomonadati; Bacteroidota; Flavobacteriia; Flavobacteriales.